UACGGGAGGCAGCAGUGGGGAAUAUUGCACAAUGGGCGAAAGCCUGAUGCAGCUAUGCCGCGUGUAUGAAGAAGGCCUUAGGGUUGUAAAGUACUUUCAUCGGGGAGGAAAAAACAAAACUAAUAAUUUUAUUUCUUGACGUUACCCGAAAAAGAAGCACCGGCUAACUCCGUGCCAGCAGCCGCGGUAAUACGGAGGGUGCUAGCGUUAAUCAGAAUUACUGGGCGUAAAGAGCACGUAGGUGGUUUUUUUAAGUCAGAUGUGAAAUCCCUGGGCUUAACCUAGGAACUGCAUUUUGAAACUGAAAUACUAGAGUAUCGUAGAGGGAGGUAGAAUUCUAGGUGUAGCGGUGAAAUGCGUAGAUAUCUGGAGGAAUACCUGUGGCGAAAGCGGCCUCCUAAACGAAUACUGACACUGAGGUGCGAAAAGCGUGGGGAGCAAAACAGGGAUUAGAUACC
Molecule: ribosomal RNA, 458 nt
Filed under: uncultured bacterium
Lineage: Bacteria
Description: bacterial SSU rRNA
Rfam family: Bacterial small subunit ribosomal RNA
Source: RNAcentral